GGGUUCUACCGUCGGUCGGGCUAACAAGUUUGUACUGGUGUGUAGAAUUUCUACCUUCUGGGGAACUAUCAUGUUAUUAAUUUAGCGUGGUGGGAAACUAGGACCUUUACCUUGAAAAAAUUAGAGUGUUCAAAGCAGGCUUACGUCUGAAUACAUUAGCAUGGAAUAAUAGAAUAGGACGGUGGUCCUGUUUUGUUGGUUUCUAGAGUCGCCGUA
RNAcentral lists this ribosomal RNA (216 nucleotides) under Campeiostachys nutans. RNAcentral's name for it is "Elymus nutans partial small subunit ribosomal RNA". The stretch from base 29 to 216 matches the Rfam family "Eukaryotic small subunit ribosomal RNA", at positions 674 to 864 of the family's 1831-position model. The record is from RNAcentral. Lineage: Eukaryota; Viridiplantae; Streptophyta; Magnoliopsida; Poales; Poaceae.